UGGGGAAUAUUGGACAAUGGGCGCAAGCCUGAUCCAGCCAUGCCGCGUGAGUGAUGAAGGCCCUAGGGUUGUAAAGCUCUUUCAGCGAGGAGGAUAAUGACGUUACUCGCAGAAGAAGCCCCGGCUAACUUCGUGCCAGCAGCCGCGGUAAUACGAAGGGGGCUAGCGUUGUUCGGAAUCACUGGGCGUAAAGCGCACGUAGGCGGACUUUUAAGUCAGGGGUGAAAUCCCGGGGCUCAACUUCGGAACUGCCUUUGAUACUGGAAGUCUGGAGUCCGAGAGAGGUGAGUGGAACUCCGAGUGUAGAGGUGAAAUUCGUAGAUAUUCGGAAGAACACCAGUGGCGAAGGCGGCUCACUGGCUCGGUACUGACGCUGAGGUGCGAAAGCGUGGGGAGCAAACAGGACUAGAUACCCUGGUAGUCCACGCCGUAAAACGAUGGAAGCUAGCCGUCAGGGUGCAUGCAUCUUGGUGGCGCAGUUAACGCAUUAAGCUUCCCGCCUGGGGAGUACGGUCGCAAGAUUAAAACUCAAAUGAAUUGACGGGGUCAUAGCUGUUUCCU
Molecule: ribosomal RNA, 561 nt
Filed under: uncultured bacterium
Lineage: Bacteria
Description: partial 16S ribosomal RNA
Rfam family: Bacterial small subunit ribosomal RNA
Source: RNAcentral